This 492-nucleotide ribosomal RNA is filed under the name uncultured bacterium. Its description in RNAcentral is "partial 16S ribosomal RNA". It matches the Rfam family "Bacterial small subunit ribosomal RNA", at positions 28 to 507 of the family's 1533-position model. The record is from RNAcentral.
GAUGAACGCUGGCGGCGUGCCUAACACAUGCAAGUCGAACGGCAAGACAGUGAGCGUGCUCCCCUACCGGUGGCGGGGGGCGGAUGGGUGACGCAUACAUCGCAUACCUCUAUGUCGUGGGUAAUAACGUGGAGCAACUUAUGCUAAUGCAUCAUAUGUCCAACGGGUGGGUUCAAUAGUUCUUGAGGCUUUGGCUGACUCUAUGAGCUGAUGCCGGAUUAGCUAGUUGGCGGGGUAACGGCUCACCAAGGCGACGAUGCGUAGCUGAUCUGAGAGGAUGAUCAGCCACACUGGAACUGAGACACGGUCCAGACUCCUACGGGAGGCAGCAGUGGGGAAUAUUGGACAAUGGGCGCAAGCCUGACCCAGCAACGCCGCGUGGGUGAAGAAGGUCUUCGGGUCGUAAAACCCUGUUAUUGGGGAAGAACAACUGCAGGAGAAACGAUGCCUGUUUUGACGGUACCUAAAGAAAAAGCACCGGCUAACUACGUG